CCUACGGGAGGCAGCAGUGAGGAAUAUUGGUCAAUGGGCGGAAGCCUGAACCAGCCAAGUCGCGUGAGGGAUUAAGGCCCUGCGGGUCGUAAACCUCUUUUGCCGGGGAGCAGUGGUCCGGACGCGUCCGGACCGGGAGAGUACCCGGAGAAAAAGCAUCGGCUAACUCCGUGCCAGCAGCCGCGGUAAUACGGAGGAUGCGAGCGUUAAUCGGAAUUACUGGGCGUAAAGGGUGUGCAGGCGGUUUUGCAAGAUGGAUGUGAAAGCCCCGGGCUUAACCUGGGAAAGCCAUACAUGACUGCAAGACUAGAGUGCGUCAGAGGGGGGUGGAAUUCCAAGUGUAGCAGUGAAAUGCGUAGAUAUUUGGAAGAACACCGAUGGCGAAGGCAGCCCCCUGGGACGCAACUGACGCUCAUACACGAAAGCGUGGGGAGCAAACAGGAUUAGAUACCCUUGUAGUC
RNAcentral lists this ribosomal RNA (461 nucleotides) under uncultured bacterium. RNAcentral's name for it is "partial 16S ribosomal RNA". It matches the Rfam family "Bacterial small subunit ribosomal RNA", at positions 338 to 795 of the family's 1533-position model. The record is from RNAcentral.